AGGGGAUAAGAUUAAGGUGUCUGAGAAUCUUGUAUGAUCACAAAAUACUGGUUAAAAUAAAACGAGAGCCGAUGGAUAAAUACAAGUAACUAAUGAAGCCCCCGUGAGUCGACCGAAAGCUUUAUAUCAUGAGAUCAUAAAAAUGCAGAGUUCAAAUUUAAUUACUGCUUAAGUAAACUUAUUAAAAAGGUAAAAGAUGAAGCUGUAAAUGACAGCUGAUGAAAGUGAAAGAAGGAACUCUCCUAACAGCCAUUAGCACCGUCCAGUAAAAGCUAGUGUCAAAUAUUUGUAAUAUGGCCAGGAUACCCUUCGUACAUAAUGGAAAAUCAAAUAGUUGUAUGCAAAUGUUACAAGUUAAAAAAGUCAAUGAGACAAUUUUAAGGGGUAGAAUGAUCAAACAAGAAAAAACCAGAUAACUUACUAUCCAACCUGUGAAUUGCACAUUCCUUGAAGAUAAUUCCUUCAUUUUUCUAAAAAGUAAUGCCAUAUGAACAUUAAAUGAUAAGGUCAAUAAAGCGAGUCUCAUAUUCACACAUUUAAUUGGUCUUAUCAUUUCCUCCUCACCCACGUGACACAUCACAUGGGAAUGAUCCUCAAUUUGUACAUAUAGCAUUACUCUUUUUUAAUCAGGAUUGAUGACGUGGUGAGGCUAAAUUCAUAGGUGGAAUUAGUCGCUAAAUUUUCAUUUUUGCUUCAAUAGGCAUUCCAAUUAGUCAUCAACAUGGUGAAAGUGCCUAAUAAUUUCAUUGACCCUCUCACAAGAUCAA
This 767-nucleotide long non-coding RNA is filed under the name Olea europaea subsp. europaea. Lineage: Eukaryota; Viridiplantae; Streptophyta; Magnoliopsida; Lamiales; Oleaceae. The record is from RNAcentral.